UCCAGGGUGACGUCUUGUGAUUAAAGUUGU
Molecule: non-coding RNA, 30 nt
Filed under: Mus musculus (house mouse)
Lineage: Eukaryota; Metazoa; Chordata; Mammalia; Rodentia; Muridae
Source: RNAcentral